GAAUAGAACGCUGGCGGCGCGCCUAAUACAUGCAAGUCGAGCGAGAAGACGUAGCAAUACGUUUGUAAAGCGGCGAACGGGUGAGGAAUACAUGGGUAACCUACCCUCGAGUGGGGAAUAACUAGCCGAAAGGUUAGCUAAUACCGCGUACGCUUCUUGGACUUCGGUUCAGGGAGGAAAGCGAUGCCGAGGGUAUCGCGCUCUUGGAUGGGCUCAUGUCCUAUCAGCUUGUUGGGAGGUAACGGCUCACCAAGGCUUCGACGGGUAGCUGGUCUGAGAGGACGAUCAGCCACACU
Molecule: ribosomal RNA, 296 nt
Filed under: uncultured bacterium
Lineage: Bacteria
Description: partial 16S ribosomal RNA
Rfam family: Bacterial small subunit ribosomal RNA
Source: RNAcentral